GACGUAGGGGGCAAGCGUUGUCCGGAUUUAUUGGGCGUAAAGAGCGUGUAGGCGGCUUGGUAGGUCCGCUGUGAAAACUCGAGGCUCAACCUCGAGAUGUCGGCGGAAACCACUUGGCUAGAGUCCGGAAGAGGAGAGUGGAAUUCCUGGUGUAGCGGUGAAAUGCGCAGAUAUCAGGAAGAACACCUAUGGCGAAGGCAGCUCUCUGGGACGGUACUGACGCUGAGGAGCGAAAGCGUGGGGAGCGAACAGG
RNAcentral lists this ribosomal RNA (253 nucleotides) under uncultured bacterium. RNAcentral's name for it is "partial 16S ribosomal RNA". It matches the Rfam family "Bacterial small subunit ribosomal RNA", at positions 524 to 776 of the family's 1533-position model. The record is from RNAcentral.